RNAcentral lists this ribosomal RNA (403 nucleotides) under uncultured bacterium. Its description in RNAcentral is "partial 16S ribosomal RNA". It matches the Rfam family "Bacterial small subunit ribosomal RNA", at positions 30 to 526 of the family's 1533-position model. The record is from RNAcentral.
AUUGAACGCUGGCGGCAGGCCUAACACAUGCACGUCGAGCGAGCGUCGGACGGGUGAGUAAUGUAUGGGGACUGCCCGAUCGCGGGGGAUAACUACUGGAAACGGUGGCUAAUACCGCAUACUAUCGGAUAACCCAUAUGGGAUUAGCUAGUAGGUGGGGUAACGGCUCACCUAGGCGACGAUCUCUAGCUGGUCUGAGAGGAUGAUCAGCAAAACUGGGACAGAGACACGGACCAGACUCGUACGGAGGCAGCAGUGGGGAAUAUUGCACAAUGGGCGCAAGCCUGAUGCAGCCAUGCCGCGUGUAUGAAGAAGGCCUUAGGGUUGUAAAGUUCUUUCGGUAGCGAGGCGUUAACUACAGAAGAAGCACCGGCUAACUCCGUGCCAGCAGCCGCGGUAAUAC